RNAcentral lists this ribosomal RNA (497 nucleotides) under Spiroplasma endosymbiont of Heliconius timareta. Its description in RNAcentral is "bacterial SSU rRNA". It matches the Rfam family "Bacterial small subunit ribosomal RNA", at positions 7 to 500 of the family's 1533-position model. The record is from RNAcentral. Lineage: Bacteria; Bacillati; Mycoplasmatota; Mollicutes; Entomoplasmatales; Spiroplasmataceae.
GAGAGUUUGAUCCUGGCUCAGGAUUAACGCUGGCGGCAUGCCUAAUACAUGCAAGUCGAACGAAAGUAGCAAUACUUUAGUGGCGAACGGGUGAGUAACACGUAUCUAACCUACCAUUUAGUGAGGAAUAACUGUUGGAAACGACAGCUAAUACCGCAUAUGUUAUUUAUUUGCAAUGAUAAAUAAUGAAAGGAGCAUUUACUUCGCUAAUUGAUGGGGAUGCGGCGCAUUAACUAGUUGGUAAGGUAAUGGCUUACCAAGGUAACGAUGCGUAGCCGAUCUGAGAGGAUGAACGGCCACAUUGGGACUGAGACACGGCCCAAACUUCUACGGAAGGCAGCAGUAGGGAAUUUUUCACAAUGGGCGAAAGCCUGAUGGAGCAAUGCCGCGUGACUGAUGAAGGUCUUCGGAUUGUAAAAGUCUGUUGUAAGAGAAGAAGUGCUAGAAUAGGAAAUGAUUUUAGUAUCGACCAUACCUUACCAGAAAGCCACGGCUAA